This 2613-nucleotide long non-coding RNA is filed under the name Vitis vinifera (wine grape). RNAcentral's name for it is "long non-coding RNA (VVIN_LNC002597)". The record is from RNAcentral. Lineage: Eukaryota; Viridiplantae; Streptophyta; Magnoliopsida; Vitales; Vitaceae.
GAUCAGACAAUGAAAUAUCGGAGUAUUCAAUUAAUUUGCUAAGAAAAACUCAAAAUGAAUUUUAAUAUUUUACCAUCUGAUUAAGUCAUCCAAAAAAAAUCAUAAAUGUACAAAUGCAUGCAGGUAGGUGUCCUCUUCAUGAUGGUAUGCACUGAAAUUCGCAUUAGGUGAGACCCACAAGUUCAUUUGACAUUUGCCAUAAUCAUCCCUUAAAUGAAAAUGACUAAAAUGUCUUCAUUAAUUUGCAUCAUGGUCCAUGCUUUUCGUUUUAUAUGCUUCUGCAAGUAAAGGGCAUUUAUCUUUACAGGCCUCGCUCAACCAGGUCCAUAUGCAUAUGAUGGUGGAGCUCACUUAAUCGUGUGUUACACCGCUAUCCCCCAGGAUCCCAGCCAAGCAAAUUGGGCCCACCAAACAUUCAUGGCUCACUUAUUCUUAGGUAAGCUGGUGGUGUACCACUUCCAGGAUUGGCCUUCCCAACCUAAAACCUCUCAUUUGAUGAUCAAUUUGUUUGCUUUCAGGAAAGCAUAGUCCAGCCAAUAAUGUGCCUGUGUGCAUGGUUCACCUCAAACAAAUCCAGAAAUUUGCCAAGUCUUGUUUUACAUUAACCAGCAGUCACCCGUUGCCCUGAAACUAACUUCUUUAGUGACAAAUUUGAACCUGAAUACAAACAGGUUUGUAUGAUUAAAAGCUAGUGAGAAAGGCGAGUGAAAAAUAACAAACCAAAACUAAGAAAUCAAGUAGACAUAUAGCAGAAAUAUGAACUGCCAUGCCUACAUGCUUGAAACCAAGGCCAUAUCAACAGAUCAAGUAUGUGAGCUGGAACAUGAUUUGAGUGAUGAAAAACAAAUGAUUAUGGGUGUUAUUUAUUCUAAGAUAACAUUUGGGUCCUGCAUUUGUUCCUACUAGACAACAAUUUCCAGGUGUUAUUAGUAGUAAUCCCAAAUGUCAAGAAAACUAAACAAUUUUCACAUCAAUGGCAACCCCUUAGGGUCUGAAAAGCUUGGUCGGCGCAAUCAUUCAAGUGAACCAUUGAAUUCUGAAUUCCUUGCAUUGGAGUGAAUACAAGAGAGAGCAAUAUCAGUUUCAUCCUUAAUCAGGUUUUUUAAAUUAUUUAAUGAGAGCAAAAUUUGCAACUAAUAGAUUUUGGUAAUAUAAAUUCAUUAGUCAUAAUUGUAUUCUCCUGAAGAAGGGGAUACUCAAAAUAUUACCAAUAUGAUCAGGACACCAAAAGAUUAACUGGACUGGAAAUUGAGAACAAAGAAAAUGAAAAAGAAACAGGACUGAGGAAUAGAAUAGAAGCUUAAUACAAAUUCCCAAUGCAAUUUAGAAGAUUCUAUGAAAUAAUAAACUGUAAUUUUUUUUUCUGAAAUGACAUAUGCACUUGUUUGCCAUAUCAGAGUAAAGCAAACUACUACAAAGUAGCUAAUCUGUCAUCCGAAAAAUAAGAAGUAGAGGACAAACAAAUCUAAAUAUACAAACCUCUGCAAGAAUUUCUACUGAAAGAACUUCCAUUUCUUCUCACAAUCCUGAGACUGGUGCAAGCCUCGGAUGUUCACCUUACCAGCACAUCCCUGUAUCAGAUUCAUCUCAUGAAGCCAUUUGUAUGUAACUGAAAAAAAAAUUAAAAAAAAUGCUGUAUUAGAUUCAUGAAAACGACCCAAGGAGCACAACCAACGAGGCACCCUUUAUGAGAUUGUUAAAUUUUGAAUGGUAGCCUUUCAUUGUUAAAUUUGACUCCUAGUAUUUCAUGCAAGGAAAUGCAUUUGUUCCCAAAAAAAAUAACCCGGUCAACACAGGUUUAAGAUCAAAGUAUUGCUUUAAAUUUCAAUUGUUUAUGAUAAAUAAGAGUGUAGAAAUCAACAACCCAAAAUUUUUUCCAUAUUUUCCUUCUAAAAACAAACUUAAGAUUAAGAAGUUGGUGAUGCUUAUGUCUCACCCAUCAAAGGACCAAAGAAAAAAAAAAUCAACCUCUGGUUCUUGCAUCUCAAAACUAUGCAACUAAAAUAUAAUUGUGUGAAUAAAUAUAAUAGAACAAGGGCUCCCCCUUAUUUCUUUUGGUCUAAGCUUUGAAAAGAUUGGAGGGACAGGAAUGCCAAUUUGCUAUCCAUCUGAUCACUAACUUUUGUAAUACAUCUAUUUAUGAUUCAUACGAUGGUGUCUGCAUAUCAUACAAGGUAGUUGUGUUGUAACUCCCAGCUAAACUUGGUAUGCCAAAUUUUGGCAUUCAUGUCCCUUGUGCCAAACCUCGUCGACUCAUGGAGACACGUGUAAGUUCUCAGGCCACUUUGGAGAAACCAACCUCAUCCCACCAUUUCCAUCAUUUCAGUUCAAUGUUGUUCGCUUUUAGUAAUUUCACCACAACACGCAAUUGCUUUCCUUUCAUAAUUUAUGUUGAAAUUUAGCAAAAAUAGUGAUAAUUUGAUAGAAAUCAUCCCCUCUUCUCUCCCCCUCUCCUCUCGAAAUCAGUAUUUCUAUAUAUAUAAAGAGAGAGCGCGCUACCUUUCUGGACGAGCAAAUGAGACAAACUCCUCGUUUCUUCUACAACCUUCCAGAGGAACUUCCAUGAAGGACGAUGAAAGGGAUCCCCAAGCACUGCGAGACUGAGUGGCAUGA